RNAcentral lists this transfer RNA (70 nucleotides) under Coccorella atlantica (Atlantic sabertooth). RNAcentral describes it as "tRNA-His". It matches the Rfam family "tRNA". From Rfam's summary of the family: Transfer RNA (tRNA) molecules are approximately 80 nucleotides in length. Their secondary structure includes four short double-helical elements and three loops (D, anti-codon, and T loops). Further hydrogen bonds mediate the characteristic L-shaped molecular structure. tRNAs have two regions of fundamental functional importance: the anti-codon, which is responsible for specific mRNA codon recognition, and the 3' end, to which the tRNAs corresponding amino acid is attached (by aminoacyl-tRNA synthetases). tRNAs cope with the degeneracy of the genetic code in two manners: having more than one tRNA (with a specific anti-codon) for a particular amino acid; and 'wobble' base-pairing, i.e. permitting non-standard base-pairing at the 3rd anti-codon position. The record is from RNAcentral. Lineage: Eukaryota; Metazoa; Chordata; Actinopteri; Aulopiformes; Evermannellidae.
GUUAGCAUAGUUUUACCAAAAACAUUAGAUUGUGAUUCUAAAAAGAGAGGUUAAAAUCCCCUUGCUCACC